This 568-nucleotide ribosomal RNA is filed under the name uncultured fungus. RNAcentral's name for it is "eukaryotic LSU rRNA". The stretch from base 220 to 373 matches the Rfam family "5.8S ribosomal RNA". The record is from RNAcentral. Lineage: Eukaryota; Fungi.
AAGUCGUAACAAGGUUUCCGUAGGUGAACCUGCGGAAGGAUCAUUACAGAGUACCGGCGCCCUCCGGGCGUCUACUCCCACCCUGUGUCUAUCGAACUUUGUUGCUUUGGCGGGCCGCGCGCCCCGGCGCGCCCCCGGCCCCAGGCUGGGGAGCGCCCGCCAGAGGACCAUUUAAAUUCUGCUCACCGUGGAAUCUGAGUGUAUACAAAAAUGAAUCAAAACUUUCAACAACGGAUCUCUUGGUUCUGGCAUCGAUGAAGAACGCAGCGAAAUGCGAUAAGUAAUGUGAAUUGCAGAAUUCAGUGAAUCAUCGAAUCUUUGAACGCACAUUGCGCCCCCUGGCAUUCCGGAGGGCAUGCCUGUUCGAGCGUCAUUUCGUCCUUCAAGCCCCGCUUGGUGUUGGGCGCAGGCCUGUCCGCAGGCCCGCCCGCAACCCUUCGGCGGCGAGCACCGUCCCCGAGCGUAGCAGAAAACCUCGCUCCGGUCCCCGGCCGUUCGCCCGCCGGACGAAAAAACAAUUAUUCAGAAGUUUGACCUCGGAUCAGGUAGGGAUACCCGCUGAACUUAA